ACUCAAAUAGUUUAAUGAAAAUAUAAAUUUGUGGCAUUUAAGAUAUAAGAAUUUAUUUUGAGUA
Molecule: transfer RNA, 64 nt
Filed under: Etisus dentatus
Lineage: Eukaryota; Metazoa; Arthropoda; Malacostraca; Decapoda; Xanthidae
Description: tRNA-His
Source: RNAcentral